Molecule: long non-coding RNA, 2109 nt
Organism: Astatotilapia calliptera (eastern happy)
Lineage: Eukaryota; Metazoa; Chordata; Actinopteri; Cichliformes; Cichlidae
Source: Ensembl
GAAUCCUUCUUGGUCCUGGAGUGAUUAUUUGGGAAUGUCUGCUUUUGCUGACUUUUGUAAUGGAGACACAGCCGAAGAUGAGCACCACUGUUUGCAAAUAACUUUUACUGAGGAAAAGAGUGGAUGCUUAGAGAGCAUGGACUGUGAAACUGAGCUCCCGUCUAUCUGUGGAAACAUUAUUAUGUAAUUGUGAAUCAACUCUAUAAUGCAUCAUAAAAAGCACAAAGAUCUGUGUUUUUCUUUCUCAGUGCUGUUUCUUUCUCUGUAUUUCCACACCAUCGCUAUGAUGCAAGCAAUCAGGCAUCAUGUGCAAUGAACUGGAGCUGAAUUUUCUGUACGAUUAAAAGAAAGCUUUCUGUAGACCUUUACUUUGUAGAGUGAACUGUAUCUCAUUCUUAAAUUAAAACUGUUAGCAAAAAAAACAAAAAAAAACAAAAAACAAAACAAAAAAAACAACUGUUAGCAUUGAAAUUUGUCUGUGAGUUAUUCACCACUAACAUUAGCAAAUUGAAUACAAAAUGGGGUUUUUUAAAGUUUAUGUCCAAAUGCCCCAAAGGAGCUGUGCCUUCCAUGGAUGAGAUGUUUAUUCAUGGUGACAUAGAAACUGUCAAUCAUGUUCUUCUGACAGCCAGCAGGGUGGAGGCAUGGCUACCGACCCUGCUGGUUACAGAGAUGUUCCUCCAAACUGCAGCAUGUCUGGGUUAAGAUAAGGAAAGUCAAUGGUAGACACCAGAAUAGGCUGCAGUCUGACUAAAGUAUUGUAACCCACGCCCCAACCACUCAGGGAGGAGUUGAAUAUGAGUGCAAAUAACCAUAACACACAGGAAUUUCAGUUGACUGUGAGUUUAGUUAUCAACAACCUCAAAAAGAAAUUACAACGUUGGCCCUUUGCUAAAUAAACUCACUGAAAACUCAUUGCUCUUAAUUAUCUGAAUUAUCCAUUUAAAACAUAUUUGGUUAGGUUGCAGCCUUGCCCUUCCGUUUGCUCCACAGAUUUAUAAAGCGGAGAUGAUUGUCAAGUCAGAGAACAGAGAGGGUAACACUUUAUAACUUGACACGCAAAUAAAGCACAAGUACCCUGUACUUACUUAAGGAGACACAAAUUCUUCUGUAAAUAACUUUAAGUAUCGUAGCAGCCUAAGUAAUUACUAAGUAAUUAAGUAAUGCUUAAGUAAUAUUCUGCAUAAUGAAAGUCUGCCUAUUCAACUCUCUCUAUAUAUUACCUUUAAAAAUUAAUACAGUAAUAAUCACUUUCUUCUUCUUAUUGGAAAAUAUACAUUGAUACGAACAAUCAAACUUUGUAGACCAUAAGCAUAAUCUGACCAUAUAAUAAUGGAGACAAGGAGAGUUAUUUUCAUUAAACUGUAGUUAAAAAAGAAGAACAUGAAACAAUUCCAUAACCCUUAAAAAAAUAAGUUUUAACAAUACAUUACCAUAUUGUGGCGUGUUGGGGGAGCGGCUAGUUCUCUCCCAUCAUGCCUUGGGACUGCUGUUUGGAUGUUCUUGUUUUGUUGUUUAUGGUUACACUACUUUUAACUGUUAUCUUGAAUGUUGUGUUUGUACUGCAGUUCAAAGGCACUUACAGUGUUGUUUUAUAGAAUGAAUGCAACCAUGGGUGAGUUCUGUUAUGCUGUUGAUGACCCUCGAAGCAUAGUGUAGCAUCAGUGUGUGUUGUAAUAAAGAGCUCCCCCUACCAGCUUGGGGUUGAAUAACAAUCUCUCUCUGUGAGCUUCUUUGUAAAGAUUCCUCUGCAUGCCACAUUGGUGUCAGAAGUGGGAUUCCAAGAGCAUGGCCACUAUUCUGAAAGAGGAAGAGGAGCUGAGGAAGAUUGAGGAGCUUAUCACUCACCUGGAAGCAGUGAAUGGAGCACAAUUGAAGAAGCGGGGAGAGCCCCGGGCAGCAGCAAGCCAGCCAGGGGAAGAUCUGUGGGGCUUACCAGAUGGAGCCUCACACCCCCGCCCACUGGGGAGCUGUCGGAGCCGCCAAGGCAUGCUGCAGGCUCCAAGACCACGAGCGACCGGUCAGCCUCCACUCAUGGUGAUGCCUGGGAGCAGCACACCCUCAUCGUUGGCAGCCGAGGGGGACAACGCCAACUGUCUCCAGGACCAA